AUGUCUUUUCUUUAGUACUUAGUUUCACCAGCAGAGGGCGCUUGGCACUUUGGCCAUCAGUAGUUGACGCCGGAAGGAGGAGCUCAGUCACUACGUGAUGAGUGAGUCAGCAGAACGUGACCAGGCGCGCAGCAGUUAUUGAUUGUUUUAUUUAUUUAUUUUCCAGCUGGCAGCAAAGACCUGGCUGUGCAUGGAAAUCAAGAGAAACCACUCAUUAACUGGAGGCAAAUUUGGGAGAAGAAUGCAAAUUUUGUCUCCUUGGUCUUGUGGAAGAUGAUAAGAGAGAUCAGGAUUGUCUGUAAAAAUGGUUUCUCUACGAAAUUUUUUGGAAAGCUAUUUUUGGAUUGGGGUGGAUGGAGAUACCUGCAGGGCAUUUCUGCCUGUCACACCUUUGCCAGCGCCUGAGAGCCAGCAGCGCGGCCUUCAGCUGGGAGUCAUCCUUCACUGAAGCUUUCUUACUUCACCUGCCAAAAUGUCUCUGGGUGGAGAGGAUUAACAAGCAGAUCUUCCCCGAGUAGAUGACAAGAAUAAGAACUGCAAGAAAAGCAAAGUCAGGCUCCAAAAAUGAAGCCCCCUUCUUUACAAAAGGAGACUCGGCGAAUAUCUUACAAUGUGUCAGUUUCUACUAAAAAGCUGUUUCUACAGAACAAUUGAAAACUUGCUUUACAUUCAGGGCAGAAGGCCUGCACUGGCAAGAAACGUCAGUGCCCUCAAGCAAACAAAUGUUCCAUCAUCUGCCUUUCACAAACCUUUAGAUCUCUGUGAAUGUCAGCAGUACUAUCCUCGCCCCCUUCAGCACCCCCCCUCCAUUCCUGUCUGUGGGCCUUGGCCACUGUGCUAAAAACCAAUUCUCAAGAUACCGAGGCAUCUGUGAUGUCGCUCGCUGCUAAAAAGCCAAGGCACAGAAGAAAAACACUGAGGCCAAUCAAUGGCCUGACAAGGCAAAUAUCAGGCCUGGCCAUGGGGCAGCGAUUCAAAGUGUUUAACAGACAGGAAUCCUUCAGCCAGGACAAGCUAGGCAUGCUAAACGCUGAUCAGCUUGUUUGAAAAGGUCUCCUCUCUUGGGAUGGGUGUUAGCCGUCAACUGAAUAUCUGAUUCAGAGAAGAUAGAAAAAGAGUAAAACAACAGCUUUCAUUUCAGUCAUUCAUUUCCUUCUUCUCUGCUAUUUCUAAACCUAAUUCUUUGCGAUUUUAAUUUCAUUUUAAUAUUUCUACUUUUGAUUCAGUUUUAAUAAUGGGUAUUUGAACUGAUCCAAUUCCUAAUUUAAAACCAAAAUUUGACCUUUUGAUGGCAAGAACUUUCAUUUUAAUGACAAUCUUCUCAAAAGAUGUAAUCAUAAUUCUUUCAAAGAGUACUUUUUAAAAUGAGAGGAAAAAAUUAUAUUUAAAAAAAUUUCAAAAGAAUAAGGGGGAGCGCUGCCACUUAUUUACAUAUGACAUUUGAAAAUAAUAUAAUUUACAUCUUUCCCAAGUUUUUAAAGAGCCCCUCCAAUGAAAAUUGUGUUUUUAUUGUUUUAAUCAAAUUCUUGAGGCAUUUUUCUUAUAAUGGAGGACAUUUAUUUAAAAAAAAAAUUUUUUAAUUCAAAUCAUUGUGAAUCGAGAGCAGAUACAAAAAAUACGUUGGAAAAAAGCAUAUUUGUGAUGUUGGGCGAGAGUCAAGCUCCCUGUUCGCUCCAUUCUGAAGCAUUCACUUGCAGACAAACAGAUCCAUAAACGUCUUUGUUUUCCUCGUCUGAGCUGGAAUCUGGCUCUAUACAAGGAUAUUUCUGAUAAUGCUCGCCAUUUUUGUUGCACCUGUAAUGUUAGCUUGGGAUUGUGAGGCGCUGUAAGCUAGUGGGAGAGAGUGUAAACAAAGGCAUGAUGGGAUAGAGGCCGAGGCUUACUGCCCACAACUCAGUGGCAAACUUCUUAAGAACUACUACCGUUCUGCAGAAACUAUGUCCUUGGAAACAACAGGUUUGUUGAUUUUAGCUAAAAAUGUCAUGAUGAUAAAAGACCACGAGGAACACUUCUACAGUGCCUAUUCGCACAUAAUUUUCGAAAAACUUUUUUCUUGGCCGCACGGACAGAGGAAGGGUUAAGACAAAGGUGUCAAACUCAAUCACACAGGGGGGCCAAAAUCCAGAAGACACCUCAGGUCGCGGACC
Long non-coding RNA from Oryzias melastigma (Indian medaka), 2147 nucleotides. RefSeq lists it as uncharacterized. The transcript has 5 exons. The record is from RefSeq and is a predicted model, not a curated record. NCBI's taxonomy places the organism in Eukaryota, Metazoa, Chordata, Actinopteri, Beloniformes, Adrianichthyidae.